GACGAACGCUGGCGGCGUGCUUAACACAUGCAAGUCGAACGGAAAGGCCCUGCUUUUGUGGGGUGCUCGAGUGGCGAACGGGUGAGUAACACGUGAGUAACCUGCCCUUGACUUUGGGAUAACUUCAGGAAACUGGGGCUAAUACCGGAUAGGAGCUCCUGCUGCAUGGUGGGGGUUGGAAAGUUUCGGCGGUUGGGGAUGGACUUGCGGCUUAUCAGCUUGUUGGUGGGGUAGUGGCUUACCAAGGCUUGGACGGGUAGCCGGCCUGGGAGGGGGACCGGCCCCAUGGGCCUACGGGAGGCACCAGGGCCCAAGCGGGGGCAAUGGGUGGGAGUUUUACCCAGUGGGGCGGAGCGUGUGAAGAAGGUCCCCGGAUUGGAAAGGACGGCUUUGGGGGUGGAACCCCUUUUAGCCCAUACCGAGCGGUGUUGACGUUAACUGGAUAAAAAGCCCCGGCUAACUUCGUG
RNAcentral lists this ribosomal RNA (467 nucleotides) under uncultured bacterium. Its description in RNAcentral is "partial 16S ribosomal RNA". It matches the Rfam family "Bacterial small subunit ribosomal RNA", at positions 28 to 507 of the family's 1533-position model. The record is from RNAcentral.